This 62-nucleotide transfer RNA is filed under the name Candidatus Aquicultor primus. RNAcentral describes it as "Actinobacteria bacterium GWC2_53_9 tRNA-Ala". It matches the Rfam family "tRNA", at positions 6 to 65 of the family's 71-position model. Rfam says of the family: Transfer RNA (tRNA) molecules are approximately 80 nucleotides in length. Lineage: Bacteria; Bacillati; Actinomycetota; Candidatus Aquicultoria; Candidatus Aquicultorales; Candidatus Aquicultoraceae. The record is from RNAcentral.
UAUAGCUCAGUUGGGAGAGCGCUGCGUUCGCAAUGCAGAGGUCAGGGGUUCGAGUCCCCUUA